UGCGUAGGCGGUUCGUUAAGUCUGUCGUGAAAGCCCUGGGCUCAACCUGGGAAUGGCGAUGGAUACUGGCGAGCUAGAGUCAGGUAGAGGGUGGCGGAAUUCCCGGUGUAGCGGUGAAAUGCGUAGAUAUAUGGAAGAACACCAGUGGCGAAGGCGGCUGUCUGGUCUGCAACUGACGCUGAGGCUCGAAAGCAUGGGUAGCAAACA
Molecule: ribosomal RNA, 207 nt
Filed under: uncultured bacterium
Lineage: Bacteria
Description: partial 16S ribosomal RNA
Rfam family: Bacterial small subunit ribosomal RNA
Source: RNAcentral